This 487-nucleotide ribosomal RNA is filed under the name uncultured bacterium. RNAcentral's name for it is "bacterial SSU rRNA". It matches the Rfam family "Bacterial small subunit ribosomal RNA", at positions 8 to 502 of the family's 1533-position model. The record is from RNAcentral.
AGACUUUGAUCCUGGCUCAGGACGAACGCUGGCGGCGUGCCUAACACAUGCAAGUCGAACGGAGUUUUAGGUCAGCUUGCUGACCGAAGAACUUAGUGGCGCACGGGUGAGUAACACGUGGGCAAUCUGCCCGGAAGUCUGGGAUAACAGCUCGAAAGGGCUGCUAAUACCGGAUACCUUCACGAAGACACAUGUUUUUGUGAAGAAAGUUUUUUCGCUUCCGGAUGAGCCCGCGUCCCAUUAGCUAGUUGGUGAGGUAACGGCUCACCAAGGCAACGAUGGGUAGCUGGUCUGAGAGGACGAUCAGCCACACUGGAACUGAGACACGGUCCAGACUCCUACGGGAGGCAGCAGUGGGGAAUCUUGCGCAAUGGGCGAAAGCCUGACGCAGCAACGCCGCGUGAACGAUGAAGGCCUUCGGGUCGUAAAGUUCUGUCAAGGGGGAAGAAGAUCUGACGGUACCCUCUGGAGGAAGCUCCGGCUAAUA